This 497-nucleotide ribosomal RNA is filed under the name uncultured bacterium. RNAcentral's name for it is "partial 16S ribosomal RNA". It matches the Rfam family "Bacterial small subunit ribosomal RNA", at positions 28 to 507 of the family's 1533-position model. The record is from RNAcentral.
GAUGAACGCUGGCGGCGUGCCUAAUACAUGCAAGUCGAGCGAACGGACGAGAAGCUUGCUUCUCUGAUGUUAGCGGCGGACGGGUGAGUAACACGUGGAUAACCUACCUAUAAGACUGGGAUAACUUCGGGAAACCGGAGCUAAUACCGGAUAAUAUUUUGAACCGCAUGGUUCAAAAGUGAAAGACGGUCUUGCUGUCACUUAUAGAUGGAUCCGCGCUGCAUUAGCUAGUUGGUAAGGUAACGGCUUACCAAGGCAACGAUGCAUAGCCGACCUGAGAGGAGGAUCAGGCACACUGGAAAUGAGACACGGUCCAGACGCCUAAGGGAGGCAGCAGGAGGGAAGCUUCGACAAUGGGCGAAAGCCUGAAGAAGCAACGCCGAGUGAGUGAAGAAGGUCUUCGGAUCGUAAAGCACUGUAAUUAGGGAAGAACAUAAGUAAACGUAGAUGUGCACGUCUUGACGGUACCAAAUCAAAAAGCAACGGAUAACUACGUG